AAUGAACGUUGGCGGCGUGGAUUAGGCAUGCAAGUCGAGCGAGAAGUCCUUCGGGACGGACAGCGGCGAAAGGGAGAGGAAUACGUAGAAAUCUACCCCUGAGACCGGGAUAGCGUCGGGAAACUGGCAGUAAUACCGGAUAAUGUCUUAGGACCAAAGGUGUGAUUCCGCUUGGGGAUGAGUCUACGCCCUAUUAGCUAGUUGGUGGGGUAAUGGCCUACCAAGGCGAUGAUGGGUAGCGGGUGUGAGAGCACGAUCCGCCUCACUGGGACUGAGAACUGCCCAGACACCUACGGGUGGCUGCAGUCGAGAAUCUUUGUCAAUGGACGAAAGUCUGAACAAGCGACGCCGCGUGCGGGAUGAAGGCCUUCGGGUUGUAAACCGCUGUCGUAGGGGAACAAAUGUACGGGGGUUCUCCCCUGUAUGUGAGUGAUCCUAGGAGNAAGGAGAGGCUAAGCUCGUGACAGCAGCCGCCGUAA
This 479-nucleotide ribosomal RNA is filed under the name uncultured bacterium. RNAcentral's name for it is "bacterial SSU rRNA". It matches the Rfam family "Bacterial small subunit ribosomal RNA", at positions 29 to 523 of the family's 1533-position model. The record is from RNAcentral.